Molecule: ribosomal RNA, 460 nt
Filed under: uncultured bacterium
Lineage: Bacteria
Description: partial 16S ribosomal RNA
Rfam family: Bacterial small subunit ribosomal RNA
Source: RNAcentral
CCUACGGGAGGCAGCAGUGAGGAAUAUUGGUCAAUGGACGAGAGUCUGAACCAGCCAAGUAGCGUGAAGGAUGACUGCCCUAUGGGUUGUAAACUUCUUUUAUAUGGGAAUAAAAUGUUCCACGUGUGGGAUUUUGUAUGUACCAUAUGAAUAAGGAUCGGCUAACUCCGUGCCAGCAGCCGCGGUAAUACGGAGGAUCCGAGCGUUAUCCGGAUUUAUUGGGUUUAAAGGGAGCGUAGGUGGAUUGUUAAGUCAGUUGUGAAAGUUUGCGGCUCAACCGUAAAAUUGCAGUUGAAACUGGCAGUCUUGAGUACAGUAUAGGUGGGCGGAAUUCGUGGUGUAGCGGUGAAAUGCUUAGAUAUCACGAAGAACUCCGAUUGCGAAGGCAGUUCACUGGACUGCAACUGACACUGAGGCUCGAAAGUGUGGGUAUCAAACAGGAUUAGAUACCCCUGUAGUC